GGAUUCCUGGAUGUUGAUCAGUAAGUGGACAAACCACUCCUUUCAUGGGCUCUUCCUUGCCCCUCCUGGUCAGCUUGUUUAGUGGCAGUUGUAUCUAAUCAACAAGGAGUUUUUGGUGGAAGAAAGCUUUCAGUAAUGAGAUCUUCCUGAUUCAUCCCGAUGAUGGAGGAAAGGAAAAUGCUACUCUGUGUGAGCUUGUAAGAACAGUGAAAUCCUGAUUGUUCCAUGUUACACAGGCAAGUAUUUU
Tympanuchus pallidicinctus (lesser prairie-chicken) is the source of this 247-nucleotide long non-coding RNA. RefSeq lists it as uncharacterized. The record is from RefSeq and is a predicted model, not a curated record. The transcript is spliced from 3 exons. NCBI's taxonomy places the organism in Eukaryota, Metazoa, Chordata, Aves, Galliformes, Phasianidae.